This 139-nucleotide small RNA is filed under the name Chrysemys picta bellii (western painted turtle). RNAcentral describes it as "TUC338 (ENSCPBG00000010588.1)". The record is from RNAcentral. Lineage: Eukaryota; Metazoa; Chordata; Testudines; Emydidae.
UUGACAGUCCCGGAAUGCAAAUCCCUCUGCUUAUUCACAGAACAGGCAUAAGCUUCCUCCAUAUUGCUUCCUUCCAGCCUGACACUUCUAAGGGUGAGAGGAUUGGUUAGCUUCAAUGCCCAUUCAAUCCUUGGUCUUU